UAAUUGUUGCAGUUAAAGCUCGUAGUUGAAUUUCUGCUACAUUGCCUAUUCUCCUUUACGAGUUUGGGUCUUUUGUGGCUUAUCUGGGUUCGCUUGCGUUCCCGGUGUUUUACUUUGAGAAAAUUAGAGUGCUCAAAGCAGGCUUUUGCCUUGAAUAGUUUAGCAUGGAAUAAUAAAGUAGGACUUUGGUUCUAUUUUGUUGGUUUUAGGUACCAAAGUAAUGGUUAAUAGGAACAGUUGGGGGCAUUCGUAUUUAACUGUCAGAGGUGAAAUUCUUAGAUUUGAUUAAAGACAAACUACUGCGAAAG
This 308-nucleotide ribosomal RNA is filed under the name Theileria velifera. RNAcentral describes it as "SSU rRNA". It matches the Rfam family "Eukaryotic small subunit ribosomal RNA", at positions 608 to 951 of the family's 1831-position model. The record is from RNAcentral. Lineage: Eukaryota; Apicomplexa; Aconoidasida; Piroplasmida; Theileriidae.